Molecule: transfer RNA, 74 nt
Organism: Lentisphaera araneosa HTCC2155
Lineage: Bacteria; Pseudomonadati; Lentisphaerota; Lentisphaeria; Lentisphaerales; Lentisphaeraceae
Rfam family: tRNA
About the family: Transfer RNA (tRNA) molecules are approximately 80 nucleotides in length.
Source: Rfam
GGGGCCUUAGCUCAGCUGGCUAGAGCGCCGCCCUUGCAAGGCGGAGGUCAUGGAUUCGAAUUCCAUAGGCUCCA